AAUUUUACAUUCUAUAACAGUUAAACUGUCAACAGAUUGUAUGCUGGUAAAUCUUUCACACUAUAGACAUCUUCAAGGGCAAGCUCACGUUCUAACUGCAUCCUUGUGGACUUCAAAACAUCAUUAAAUUCCAUGUAAGAAGCACGCUUUGCAAGCCAUUGAGCAUCCAUCAUUUGAAAGGCCACACAAUAGAGGCUGUCAAAUGCCAUUUCAUCUUCUGCAAGUAAUUCUACAAAUUUGAUUCCUGCUAGAGUGGAUGGCUUCCCCGUUUGAAGAUCCAACNGUUUGAAGAUCCAACAUUUGCACCAACAUAAAGGAAAUGUUUAUGCCAGCCACAGCAAAUGGAUACUCCCACUCAGCUCUGGUUCCAUCUUUCUUAUGUAACAAUCUCUGGAAUGAGUCCGGAUACUUCUUGGCAAAAAAUAUUAGAUUCUCCAAUGAUACAAAUCCACCACCCCGAAAAUCAGUUGAUGGGUCUGAACCUUGCCAGCCCAUCUCCUUCCAAAGCUCGGAUUUUAAAGCUGGAAGCUCCCUACCAGGAUAAGCCAGUCUCCACAAUUGUUUAAGUGCAUCUUGAUGCU
This 581-nucleotide unclassified non-coding RNA is filed under the name Hevea brasiliensis (rubber tree). The record is from RNAcentral. Lineage: Eukaryota; Viridiplantae; Streptophyta; Magnoliopsida; Malpighiales; Euphorbiaceae.